AACCUCCGCAAUGUGAGAAAUCGCGACGGGGGGAUCCCAAGUGCCAUUCUUAACGGGAUGGCUUUUCAUUAGUGUAAAGAGCUUUUGGAAUAAGAGCUGGGCAAGACCGGUGCCAGCCGCCGCGGUAACACCGGCAGCUCUAGUGGUAACAAUUUUUAUUGGGCCUAAAGCGUCCGUAGCCGGUUUAAUAAGUCUCUGGUGAAAUCCUGUAGCUUAACUGUGGGAAUUGCUGGAGAUACUAUUAGACUUGAGACCGGGAGAGGUUAGAGGUACUCCCAGGGUAGAGGUGAAAUUCUGUAAUCCUGGGAGGACCGCCUGUUGCGAAGGCGUCUAACUGGAACGGUUCUGACGGUGAGGGACGAAAGUUAGGGGCGCGAACCGGAUUAGAUACCCGGGUAGUCCUAACUGUAAACGAUGCGGACUUGGUGUUGGGGUGGCUUUGAGCUGCUCCAGUGCCGAAGGGAAGCUGUUAAGUCCGCCGCCUGGGAAGUACGGUCGCAAGACUAAAACUUAAAGGAAUG
Molecule: ribosomal RNA, 521 nt
Filed under: uncultured bacterium
Lineage: Bacteria
Description: bacterial SSU rRNA
Rfam family: Archaeal small subunit ribosomal RNA
Source: RNAcentral